This 459-nucleotide ribosomal RNA is filed under the name uncultured bacterium. Its description in RNAcentral is "partial 16S ribosomal RNA". It matches the Rfam family "Bacterial small subunit ribosomal RNA", at positions 338 to 795 of the family's 1533-position model. The record is from RNAcentral.
CCUACGGUGGGCAGCAGUGAGGAAUAUUGGUCAAUGGCCGGAAGGCUGAACCAGCCAAGCCGCGUGAAGGAUGAAGGUACCAAGUAUUGUAAACCUCUUUUGUCAAGGAACAAAGUCAGGCUCGAGAGCCCGAACGAGGGUACUUGAAGAAAAAGCAUCGGCUAACUCCGUGCCAGCAGCCGCGGUAAUACGGAGGAUGCGAGCGUUAUCCGGAUUUAUUGGGUUUAAAGGGUGCGCAGGCGGGCUGUUAAGUCAGCGGUAAAAGCCCGGGGCUCAACCCCGGCGAGCCGUUGAAACUGGCUGUCUUGAGUUGGAGAGAGGUAUGCGGAAUGCGCAGUGUAGCGGUGAAAUGCUUAGAUAUCGCGCAGAACUCCGAUUGCGAAGGCAGCAUACCGGCGGCGAUCUGACGCUGAGGCACGAAAGCGUGGGUAUCGAACAGGAUUAGAUACCCUAGUAGUC